UACGGAGGGUGCAAGCGUUGUUCGGAAUCGCUGGGCGUAAAGCGCGUGUAGGCGGCCUUCUCAGUCUGGUGUGAAAGCCCGGGGCUCACCCCCGGAAGUGCAUUGGAUACUGGAAGGCUGGAGUACCGGAGAGGAGGGUGGAAUUCCUGGUGUAGCGGUGAAAUGCGUAGAUAUCAGGAGGAGCACCAAUAGCGAAGGCAGCUCGCUGGGACGUUACUGACACUGAGGCGCGAAAGCGUGGGGAGCGAACAGG
Molecule: ribosomal RNA, 253 nt
Filed under: uncultured bacterium
Lineage: Bacteria
Description: partial 16S ribosomal RNA
Rfam family: Bacterial small subunit ribosomal RNA
Source: RNAcentral